RNAcentral lists this long non-coding RNA (4058 nucleotides) under Danio rerio (zebrafish). RNAcentral describes it as "lncRNA (ENSDARG00000117816.1)". The record is from RNAcentral. Lineage: Eukaryota; Metazoa; Chordata; Actinopteri; Cypriniformes; Danionidae.
UCACAUACACAAAUACACACACACGCAAUAAAUCACAAACACUUACAAUUACAGACGCACAUUCACACACACACACAAUAAAUCACGAACGCACACAAUUACACAUACAGACUUACAUUCACACACACACACUCACUCACUCAUUCACUCACACACGCACAAUAAAACACAAACUCACACAAUUACACAUACAGACUCACACACUCACUCACUCACUCAUUCACACACACACACACACAAUAAAUCACGAACGCACCCAAUUACACAUACAGACUCACACUCACACACUCACACACUAACUCACUCACUCACUCAUUCACACACACACACACACACACACACACACACACACACACACACACACACACACACACACACACACACAAUAAAUCACGAAGGCACACAAUUACACAUACAGACUCACAUUCACACACUCACACACUCACUCACUCACUCAUUCGCGCACACACACAAAAAAUCACAAACACACACACAAUUACACAUACAGACUCACAUUCACACACACUCACUCACUCACUCACUCAAAAACACACACACACUCACAAAAUAAAUCACAAACGCAAACACUCACUCAGACACACAUAUACUUAUACAUACUCAAUCACAUACACACACACUCACACAAUAAAUCACAAACGCACACAAUCACACAUACAGACUCACAUUCACACACACACACUCACUCACUCAGACACACACCUAUACAUAUUCACUCAAUCACAUACACAAAUACGCACGCACACACACGCGUGUGUGUGUGUGUGUGUGUGUGUGUGUGUGUGUGUGUGUGUGUGUGUGUGUGUGUGUGUGUGUGUGUGUGUGUGUGUGUGUGUGUGUGUGUGUGUGUGUGUAGAUCUUCUGGAAGGUGGACUGACGUCAGGACGAGCCGCUCAUGUUUUAAGAACACACAGAUCAGAAAACACAGAAUUCUGCAGUCAGACAGCUGUAAAUGAAGACGCUCAGAGAAUCACCCUCAGCGCUGCUCAUUUCAACAUGGUCCUCUAUGGCCUUCCGCAUGUCGUGGUGACGUGAACGCAAGCUUUAUUUCUCUUCCUGCUAAUAAACUCUUAUUAAUGCCUCAUGAAUAAUAUUUAACAGGGCAUCUUUAUUUGGCUUCUGAUCUUUCACUUGGAAAAGUCUGAUUUUACAAAUAUUGCUGAAGUUCUCAUCAGGUUAGCCGUAACAAUCAUACCUGUCAACAUUGGGGUGUGAAAAUAAGAGAUAUAUACCAUUUCUGUGUGGAGUUUGCAUGUUCUCCCUGCAUUCGUGUUGGUUUCCUCCAAGUGCUCCAGCCUGAUCUCACGAGAAAACGUAUUUUACGUUUUGGCAGUUUAGUGGCUAUUUAGACCGAAUUUGUAUGAGUUCAGUCGUAAGAAAUUGUACGAUUUUAAAUAGUAGGCAUGACACCUAACCCCACCCCUAAACACUUAUAGGGUACUUAUGAUUGCUAGCAGCUGACUCGCAUUAUCCAAUUCACUACGAUCCAAUCAGAUGACUCCUAAACUACUAUAAAUACCCUGGGGUUUAUUCCCCCCUUCCUCCCCUACGCCUCCUUCUUAGACGGGUGACACGGUGGCCCAGUGCCUAGCACUGUCGCCUCACAGCAAGAAUGUCUCUGGUUCCUGGCUUUACCAAAACUAGCAGACAUUUCUGUGCGGAGUUUUGCACUUCUUCCCGUGCUCACGUGGGUUUCCCCCGGGUUCCCCGGUUUCCUCCCACCGCCUAAAAACAUGCAAUUAAGUUAAUUGAACAAUCCAAAUUGUCAAUAUAGACACACUUCUAGUUAGUAAUUAGUUUCAAGAGCAUUCACUUGCUACAGCAGGGGAGUUCUCGAGAUCUACCUGAGCUCAAACUCCCCUCCCUGGGCUCGAGGAUCUCAUGAGCUCAGGGCUCUCUUCCGGGACAGCAUGCCAAACAAGCUUUAUAAUUAAUCAUCAGCUAAGUGUGAACUCUUGAAAUUUUAUUUCUGAAUGUUUUCUAAACAUUCAUUCAUUUUCCUUCAGCUUAGUCCCUUUAUUUAUCAGGGAUCAACACAGUGGGGUGAACCAUCAACUAUUCCAGCAUAGCUUUUAUGCAGCGGAUGCCUUUCCGACUGCAACACAGUACUGGGAAACACCCAUACACAAUCAUUCAAAGACACACUCAUACACUACGGCUCAUGUAGUUCAUCAAUUCCCCUAUAGCGCAUGUGUUUGGACUGUGGGGGAAAUCGGAGCACCCGGGAGGAAACCCACGCCAACACAGGGAGAACAUGCAAACUCCACAUAGAAACACUAACUGACCCAGCCAAGACUCGAACCAGAGACCUUCUUGCUGUAAUGUUUUUCCAGGAUUCACAGUUAAAAGCGGCUCCUGCAGAGAUGUUGUGUAAGAGUGUAAGUGUCUGCACUGUCAGGUUUGAUGAGUGUAAUCAGCAUCUUUAAUAAAGUGUUUUCAGAAACGUCAGUCUUUUGAACAGUAGUGUACCUCGCCUGUCGUGUCUGACAUCAAAUGUGUUUAUUCCUCCGUCUAGAACGAUCACUUCACAUUAAUGGAUGGAUGAUUUGCUUAUUCUACUUUGUAAAUCUGUUUGUUGGCAUCUUAGCUCGUGUUUACCCAAGUUUUCCACAUUUCCCCGUGCUGACUGACGCUUUUCUUCAUGUCUUCUGACAGUAAACGCUUCACUCUGACUCUCAACAUGCCAUUAAUGCGCUGAUCUGGAGUCUCUGGACCGCAUUUGAUAAGUUUCCUCAAUCCUGCGGUAAUAAAGCAGACUCAAACUCUCCUGGUUGAACUGAGAUGUGGUUUAGGCUGCAGUAAAGCUCCAUUCUGAGGUCAGAUCAGCUAUACUGGAUGCUGUUCAGCAGACUUGAUGAAAUGAGCAGUGUUUGUGCUUGUACACUUCAGCCAGUCAGAUGUAGAUCACAUUAAUGGAGAGAUGAGUUAACUGUGCAUGCUGAUUAAACACUGAUGUGAUGCUGGCUUAGUGACUGCUAGAGGAUAACACGCUUCAGUCUCUGUCCCAUUAUUACAGUUUCAAAAUUUUAUUAAUUUUAGUUAUUCACUUAUUCAUCCAUCUAUCCAUCCAUCCACCCAUUAAUUAUUAAUUAAUUUAUUCAUUUAUCUGUCCUGUGAUCAUCUAUCCAUCCACCCACCCACCAAUCUAUUCAUUCAUUCAUCCAUCUAUUCAUUCAUUCAUUCAUUCAUUCAUUCAUUUAUUCAUUCGUCUGUCUUGUAAUCAUUUAUUCAUUCAUUCUUUCAUUCAUCCAUCCUUUCAUCCACCCACCUAUCUUUUCAUUCAUUCAUUCAUCUAUUCAUCCAUUCAAUUGUUUUUCAUUCUAUUUAUCUGUCAGUUUUUCUAUCAUCCACUUAUUCAUCCAUCUAUCCAUCCAUCCAUUCAUCCACCCAUUCAUUCAUUCAUUCAUUCAUUCAUUCAUUCAUUCAUUCAUUCAUUCAUUCAUUCAUCUAUCCGUCCAUUUAAUUGUUGUUCAUUCUAUUCAUUUUAUUUCUCUUCAUCUGUCUGUUUUUCAUCCAUCAAUUCAUUCAUUCAUUCAUUCAUUCAUCCAAUUGUUGUGUAUUCUGUUCUUUUAUCUGUCGGUUUUUUCCGUCAUCCACCUGUACAUCCCGCCAAGCCUGGAUGUAUGUGUCUUUGUCUACAUGUGUUUAUGGGUGUGUGUGCGCGCGUGCAUGUGUGCGUGUGUGUGUGUGUGUGUGUUUCUCUGAGCAGCAUCACAGGUAAAGUUCACAAAUAACUGAUUGAUUAAGUUCUCAGACAGAAAUGUGCUUUAACAGAGUGUUCAGCUUCAGGAAAGGCUCCAGUCCAGUUCAGCUGCUGAACUCAGGUCAGUCCCUGCAGUGUGAUUUGGUUGGAAACAGCAGAAUGUCCAGCAUCUGAAGCGGUGAAACAAUCUGGAUCUGUGCACGAGUUUCAUUCUUCCACACAGAUUGAAAACACAGAGAUGAAGACUGAGAAGAUGAUGAUGAUGAUUUCACAGAAGUGUGGAGGAAAAACAACAACACUGCAGCAGGUGAAGCUCAACAUCAACACAACCAGUGAC